GUGCAAAAAACAUUUUGACAAUCCUACAUGAUACUCUAACUUUCCCCUCAAACAAACAUGCAUUUCCUGAUCUGAGUUGGAAAUUUCCUCUCAAGUAGUGUUUGAUGAACUGAACAAAGAGCAUUAUGCCUAACCAAAGGAAUCUAAACCUCCCCUGGUGAAACUCGAGUUCAUCUCCUUGUAUCAUUUCACUAGACACCUAUGAAAAGGGGCUGACACCCUCCUCACUGCAACCUCCUUCCAGGGACUUAAAAGGCAACAGAGAUGUGACAUCUGAAAUCAGUGAUGAAUGAGCUACUGAUGAACACAUCCAGGACCUCUGGAAGCCAUUCUCAUCCAGCCCAGUAAUACUGCCAUUAUUUUGUUUCAGAGAUCAGUAAAUGUAAUCAGUGUGAUAAAGGAUUUUCAAUGUUAAAACACCUAAUUUCAAUCUUAUUGAGAAAUGAUAUGUCAUUUUAGGCAUAUCCAGAAGUGCUAUAAAGAAAGCAGGUCAUAAAAAAGAAAGGAAAAAAAUUGCAUUAAUCCAGAAAAGCAAACAGAAAAAUCUUAAUCUGAUCAAG
This is a long non-coding RNA of Gallus gallus (chicken), 560 nucleotides long. NCBI's taxonomy places the organism in Eukaryota, Metazoa, Chordata, Aves, Galliformes, Phasianidae. The record is from Ensembl.